RNAcentral lists this ribosomal RNA (300 nucleotides) under Bacillus sp. (in: firmicutes). RNAcentral describes it as "bacterial SSU rRNA". It matches the Rfam family "Bacterial small subunit ribosomal RNA", at positions 530 to 829 of the family's 1533-position model. The record is from RNAcentral. Lineage: Bacteria; Bacillati; Bacillota; Bacilli; Caryophanales; Bacillaceae.
GGUGGCAAGCGUUGUCCGGAAUUAUUGGGCGUAAAGGGCUCGCAGGCGGUUUCUUAAGUCUGAUGUGAAAGCCCCCGGCUCAACCGGGGAGGGUCAUUGGAAACUGGGGAACUUGAGUGCAGAAGAGGAGAGUGGAAUUCCACGUGUAGCGGUGAAAUGCGUAGAGAUGUGGAGGAACACCAGUGGCGAAGGCGACUCUCUGGUCUGUAACUGACGCUGAGGAGCGAAAGCGUGGGGAGCGAACAGGAUUAGAUACCCUGGUAGUCCACGCCGUAAACGAUGAGUGCUAAGUGUUAGGGG